RNAcentral lists this ribosomal RNA (1425 nucleotides) under uncultured organism. RNAcentral's name for it is "16S ribosomal RNA". It matches the Rfam family "Bacterial small subunit ribosomal RNA". The record is from RNAcentral.
CGUGCUUAACACAUGCAAGUCGAACGGAAAGGCCCUGCUUUUGUGGGGUGCUCGAGCGGCGAACGGGUGAGUAACACGUGAGUAACCUGCCCUUGACUUUGGGAUAACUUCAGGAAACUGGGGCUAAUACCGGAUAGGAGCUCCUGCUGCAUGGUGGGGGUUGGAAAGUUUCGGCGGUUGGGGAUGGACUCGCGGCUUAUCAGCUUGUUGGUGGGGUAGUGGCUUACCAAGGCUUUGACGGGUAGCCGGCCUGAGAGGGUGACCGGCCACAUUGGGACUGAGAUACGGCCUAGACUCCUACGGGAGGCAGCAGUGGGGAAUAUUGCACAAUGGGCGGAAGCCUGAUGCAGCAACGCCGCGUGCGGGAUGACGGCCUUCGGGUUGUAAACCGCUUUCGCCUGUGACGAAGCGUGAGUGACGGUAAUGGGUAAAGAAGCACCGGCUAACUACGUGCCAGCAGCCGCGGUGAUACGUAGGGUGCGAGCGUUGUCCGGAUUUAUUGGGCGUAAAGGGCUCGUAGGUGGUUGAUCGCGUCGGAAGUGUAAUCUUGGGGCUUAACCCUGAGCGUGCUUUCGAUACGGGUUGACUUGAGGAAGGUAGGGGAGAAUGGAAUUCCUGGUGGAGCGGUGGAAUGCGCAGAUAUCAGGAGGAACACCAGUGGCGAAGGCGGUUCUCUGGGCCUUUCCUGACGCUGAGGAGCGAAAGCGUGGGGAGCGAACAGGCUUAGAUACCCUGGUAGUCCACGCUGUAAACGGUGGGUACUAGGUGUGGGGUCCAUUCCACGGGUUCCGUGCCGUAGCUAACGCUUUAAGUACCCCGCCUGGGGAGUACGGCCGCAAGGCUAAAACUCAAAGGAAUUGACGGGGCCCCGCACAAGCGGCGGAGCAUGCGGAUUAAUUCGAUGCAACGCGUAGAACCUUACCUGGGUUUGACAUGGAUCGGGAGUGCUCAGAGAUGGGUGUGCCUCUUUUGGGGUCGGUUCACAGGUGGUGCAUGGCUGUCGUCAGCUCGUGUCGUGAGAUGUUGGGUUAAGUCCCGCAACGAGCGCAACCCUUGUUCACUGUUGCCAGCACGUUAUGGUGGGGACUCAGUGGAGACCGCCGGGGUCAACUCGGAGGAAGGUGGGGAUGACGUCAAGUCAUCAUGCCCCUUAUGUCCAGGGCUUCACGCAUGCUACAAUGGCUGGUACAGAGAGUGGCGAGCCUGUGAGGGUGAGCGAAUCUCGGAAAGCCGGUCUCAGUUCGGAUUGGGGUCUGCAACUCGACCUCAUGAAGUCGGAGUCGCUAGUAAUCGCAGAUCAGCAACGCUGCGGUGAAUACGUUCCCGGGGCUUGUACACACCGCCCGUCAAGUCAUGAAAGUUGGUAACACCCGAAGCCGGUGGCCUAACCGUUGUGGGGGAGCCGUCGAAGGUGGGACUGGUGAU